GUGCUUGCUUCAGCAGCACAUAUACUAAAACUGGAACCACACAAAGAUUAGCAUGGCCCUUGUACAAGGAUGACACACAAAUUCAUGAAGCAUUUCGUAUUUUU
Molecule: small nuclear RNA, 104 nt
Organism: Camelus dromedarius (Arabian camel)
Lineage: Eukaryota; Metazoa; Chordata; Mammalia; Artiodactyla; Camelidae
Source: Ensembl